UGGGGAAUCUUGCACAAUGGGCGCAAGCCUGAUGCAGCAACGCCGCGUGCGGGAAGAAGGCCCUAGGGUUGUAAACCGCUUUCAGCAGGGAAGAAACUGACGGUACCUGUAGAAGAAGGUGCGGCCAACUACGUGCCAGCAGCCGCGGUGACACGUAGGCACCAAGCGUUGUCCGGAUUUAUUGGGCGUAAAGAGCUCGUAGGCGGUUCGGUAAGUCGGGUGUGAAAACUCUGGGCUCAACCCAGAGCCGCCACCCGAUACUGCUGUGACUCGAGUGCGGUAGGGGAGCGGGGAAUUCCUGGUGUAGCGGUGAAAUGCGCAGAUAUCAGGAGGAACACCAGUGGCGAAGGCGCCGCUCUGGGCCGUGACUGACGCUGAGGAGCGAAAGCGUGGGUAGCAAACAGG
RNAcentral lists this ribosomal RNA (405 nucleotides) under Bacillota bacterium. RNAcentral's name for it is "Firmicutes bacterium partial 16S ribosomal RNA". It matches the Rfam family "Bacterial small subunit ribosomal RNA", at positions 355 to 776 of the family's 1533-position model. Lineage: Bacteria; Bacillati; Bacillota. The record is from RNAcentral.